RNAcentral lists this ribosomal RNA (198 nucleotides) under uncultured bacterium. Its description in RNAcentral is "partial 16S ribosomal RNA". It matches the Rfam family "Bacterial small subunit ribosomal RNA", at positions 328 to 539 of the family's 1533-position model. The record is from RNAcentral.
ACGCUCGACACCUACGGGAGCAGCAGUGGGGAAUAUUGCACAAUGGGGGAAACCCUGAUGCAGCGACGCCGCGUGAGCGAAGAAGUAUUUCGGUAUGUAAAGCUCUAUCAGCAGGGAAGAAGAAAGACGGUACCUGACUAAGAAGCCCCGGCUAACUACGUACCAGCAGCCGCGGUAAUCUGAGCGGGCUGGCAAGGC